AUUGAACGCUGGCGGCAUGCUUUACACAUGCAAGUCGAACGGUAACAGGCCUUCGGGUGCUGACGAGUGGCGAACGGGUGAGUAAUGCAUCGGAACGUACCCAGAGGUGGGGGAUAACGCAGCGAAAGCUGUGCUAAUACCGCAUGUGAUCUGAGGAUGAAAGCGGGGGACCGAGCAGCAAUGUUUGGCCUCGCGCCUUUGGAGCGGCCGAUUUCGGAUUAGCUAGUUGGUGGGGUAAAGGCCUACCAAGGCGACGAUCCGUAGCUGGUCUGAGAGGACGACCAGCCACACUGGGACUGAGACACGGCCCAGACUCCUACGGGAGGCAGCAGUGGGGAAUUUUGGACAAUGGGCGCAAGCCUGAUCCAGCAAUGCCGCGUGCGGGAAGAAGGCCUUCGGGUUGUAAACCGCUUUUGGCAGGAACGAAACGGUGUCCGCUAAUACCGGGCGCUAAUGACGGUACCUGCAGAAUAAGCACCGGCUAACUACGUG
RNAcentral lists this ribosomal RNA (492 nucleotides) under uncultured bacterium. Its description in RNAcentral is "partial 16S ribosomal RNA". It matches the Rfam family "Bacterial small subunit ribosomal RNA", at positions 30 to 507 of the family's 1533-position model. The record is from RNAcentral.